Molecule: long non-coding RNA, 303 nt
Filed under: Olea europaea (common olive)
Lineage: Eukaryota; Viridiplantae; Streptophyta; Magnoliopsida; Lamiales; Oleaceae
Description: long non-coding RNA (OEUR_LNC011695)
Source: RNAcentral
CGAGCCCGCGUGAAAUUGAAUCCAAAAUCAAGUUUCUUGCCUCCAAUUUUGGUCUCUCUCUUCUCCCUGGUCGUUCUUCUUCUUCAUAUGAUGAAUUUAGGUAUUUAUAUCGCGUCCAAAUUAAGUAGGAAAGGAGUUUCAACCAAAACGAAAAACUGCCCCUGAAAUUUAAAAAUCCUUCUAUGCGACCGCAUAGAAGGAAUCUAUGCGGUCGCAUAGUUCAAAUUGUUUGGGUUCAUUGAGUCCCUGAAGCCUUCUAUGCGACCGCAUAGAAGGUUACACUAUGCGGUCGCAUAGAAGUAA